CGUGUAGGCGGACCGAUAAGUCAGAUGUGAAAUCCCUGGGCUCAACCUAGGAACUGCAUUUGAAACUGUCGGUCUUGAGUGAUGGAGAGGAAAGCGGAAUUCCCGGUGUAGAGGUGAAAUUCGUAGACAUCGGGAGGAACACCAGUGGCGAAGGCGGCUUUCUGGACAUUUACUGACGCUGAGACGCGAAAGCGUGGGGAGCAAACA
This 207-nucleotide ribosomal RNA is filed under the name uncultured bacterium. Its description in RNAcentral is "partial 16S ribosomal RNA". It matches the Rfam family "Bacterial small subunit ribosomal RNA", at positions 568 to 774 of the family's 1533-position model. The record is from RNAcentral.